UCCCACACUAACCUAAGAGGGUGAAGGAUG
Molecule: non-coding RNA, 30 nt
Filed under: Rattus norvegicus (Norway rat)
Lineage: Eukaryota; Metazoa; Chordata; Mammalia; Rodentia; Muridae
Source: RNAcentral